This 477-nucleotide ribosomal RNA is filed under the name uncultured bacterium. RNAcentral describes it as "partial 16S ribosomal RNA". It matches the Rfam family "Bacterial small subunit ribosomal RNA", at positions 28 to 507 of the family's 1533-position model. The record is from RNAcentral.
GAUGAACGCUGGCGGCGUGCCUAAUACAUGCAAGUCGAACGAUGAAGAUUAAAAGAUUUCUUCGGAAUGAACUUAAUUGGAUUAGUGGCGGACGGGUGAGUAACGCGUGAGUAACCUGCCUUGUACAAGGGGAUAGCCGUUGGAAACGACGAAUAAUACCCUAUGACAUCAAAUAAUCGCAUGAUAAUUUGAUCAAAGAUUUAUCGGUAUAAGAUGGACUCGCGUCUGAUUAGCUAGUUGGUAGAGUAAAAGCCUACCAAGGCAACGAUCAGUAGCCGGCUUGAGAGAGUGUACGGCCACAUUGGGACUGAGACACGGCCCAGACUCCUACGGGAGGCAGCAGUGGGGAAUUUUGCACAAUGGGGGAAACCCUGAUGCAGCGACGCCGCGUGAUUUAGAAGGCCUUCGGGUUGUAAAAAUCUUUUGUAUGGGAAGAAAAUGACAGUACCAUACGAAUAAGGACCGGCUAAUUACGUG